Non-coding RNA from Gossypium hirsutum (cotton), 107 nucleotides. NCBI's taxonomy places the organism in Eukaryota, Viridiplantae, Streptophyta, Magnoliopsida, Malvales, Malvaceae. The record is from Rfam.
AACCCAUGGUAAGGGCACCUUCUUAAUAAGUCCUUGUAUCUCUCCCACGCAUCAUCAAGUGUUUCUAAAUCCAUCUGCACAAAAGAAGAGAUAUCAUUACGCAAUUU